This 251-nucleotide ribosomal RNA is filed under the name uncultured bacterium. Its description in RNAcentral is "partial 16S ribosomal RNA". It matches the Rfam family "Bacterial small subunit ribosomal RNA", at positions 524 to 774 of the family's 1533-position model. The record is from RNAcentral.
UACGUAGGUGGCAAGCGUUGUCCGGAUUUACUGGGUGUAAAGGGCGCGUAGGCGGGUUUGCAAGUCAGAUGUGAAAUACCGGGGCUCAACUCCGGAACUGCAUCUGAAACUGUGAAUCUUGAGUACUGGAGAGGAAAGUGGAAUUCCUAGUGUAGCGGUGAAAUGCGUAGAUAUUAGGAGGAACACCGGUGGCGAAGGCGGCUUUCUGGACAGAAACUGACGCUGAGGCGCGAAAGCGUGGGGAGCAAACA